Caerostris darwini is the source of this 104-nucleotide non-coding RNA. Lineage: Eukaryota; Metazoa; Arthropoda; Arachnida; Araneae; Araneidae. The record is from the annotation of a GenBank genome assembly.
AACGGCCAUACCAUGCUGAAUAUAACGGUUCUCGUUAGAGUCAAGCAUCAUUGGGCGCGGUCAGUACUUGGGUGGGUGACCACCUCAGAACACCGCGUGCCGUU